CCACCGAGCCCAGGCCCCCUCCCUCGCCACCGGCCCCACGCACCGGCAGGACCAGGGCCAACACCAUCCAGUCCACCAGGUUCGGGGACGUGUCCAAGGAGAUCAAGCGGGUGCGGAAGCAGAUGGAGGAGGACGAGCAGCUGGCCUCCCUCAUGCGCGGCCUCCACGGCCAGAACCUCCGCGACGACAAGGCUGCAUGUGAAAGAAAGCGAACUUGAGCCAAGGUGAUGGUGAUGGAAAUGAAUGAAAGAAAGAGAAGCUGGAUGCCUACCACAAAGAUGAGCAGAGAGCAGGGGAGUUCACUGGAAUGGAGCCGCUGGUGGCCUGGCCGUAGCCGUGGAGGAGGUGGGG
Molecule: long non-coding RNA, 351 nt
Organism: Triticum dicoccoides
Lineage: Eukaryota; Viridiplantae; Streptophyta; Magnoliopsida; Poales; Poaceae
Exons: 4
Source: RefSeq, a predicted model, not a curated record